This 71-nucleotide transfer RNA is filed under the name Acipenser oxyrinchus (Atlantic sturgeon). RNAcentral's name for it is "tRNA-Tyr". It matches the Rfam family "tRNA". Rfam says of the family: Transfer RNA (tRNA) molecules are approximately 80 nucleotides in length. Their secondary structure includes four short double-helical elements and three loops (D, anti-codon, and T loops). Further hydrogen bonds mediate the characteristic L-shaped molecular structure. tRNAs have two regions of fundamental functional importance: the anti-codon, which is responsible for specific mRNA codon recognition, and the 3' end, to which the tRNAs corresponding amino acid is attached (by aminoacyl-tRNA synthetases). tRNAs cope with the degeneracy of the genetic code in two manners: having more than one tRNA (with a specific anti-codon) for a particular amino acid; and 'wobble' base-pairing, i.e. permitting non-standard base-pairing at the 3rd anti-codon position. The record is from RNAcentral. Lineage: Eukaryota; Metazoa; Chordata; Actinopteri; Acipenseriformes; Acipenseridae. RNAcentral also lists the same sequence under 3 other names.
GGUAAGAUGGCUGAGUGUUUAAGCGGUGGGUUGUAGCCCCAUGCACAGAGGUUAAAGUCCCCUUCUUAUCA